RNAcentral lists this transfer RNA (74 nucleotides) under Nitrospirota bacterium. RNAcentral's name for it is "Nitrospirae bacterium (sediment metagenome) tRNA-Ala". It matches the Rfam family "tRNA". Rfam says of the family: Transfer RNA (tRNA) molecules are approximately 80 nucleotides in length. Their secondary structure includes four short double-helical elements and three loops (D, anti-codon, and T loops). RNAcentral also lists the same sequence under 2 other names. Lineage: Bacteria; Pseudomonadati; Nitrospirota. The record is from RNAcentral.
GGGGCUGUAGCUCAGUUUGGGAGAGCGCCUGCUUUGCAAGCAGGAAGUCAGGAGUUCGAUCCUCCUCAGCUCCA